UACAGAGGGGGCAAGCGUUGUUCGGAAUUACUGGGCGUAAAGGGCGCGUAGGCGGCCUGCUAAGUCGAACGUGAAAUCCCCGAGCUCAACUCGGGAACUGCGUCCGAUACUGACAGGCUUGAAUCCGGGAGAGGGAUGCGGAAUUCCAGGUGUAGCGGUGAAAUGCGUAGAUAUCAUUUGGAACGCCAAUGGUGAAAACAGGUAGCUGGGGCUGUGCUAACGCUGAGACACGAAAGCCAGGGGAGCGAACGGG
RNAcentral lists this ribosomal RNA (253 nucleotides) under uncultured bacterium. RNAcentral's name for it is "partial 16S ribosomal RNA". It matches the Rfam family "Bacterial small subunit ribosomal RNA", at positions 524 to 776 of the family's 1533-position model. The record is from RNAcentral.